AUCUAUGGCGGGCGGUGCGUGGGGGCCUCGUGCCCGCCGGCAUUUGACGACGUUAACCACCGGUAUUGGAACCACGCACCGUCCGCCACCCUC
RNAcentral lists this non-coding RNA (93 nucleotides) under Stenotrophomonas sp. AG209. The record is from RNAcentral. Lineage: Bacteria; Pseudomonadati; Pseudomonadota; Gammaproteobacteria; Lysobacterales; Lysobacteraceae.